Molecule: non-coding RNA, 865 nt
Filed under: Chrysomallon squamiferum (scaly-foot gastropod)
Lineage: Eukaryota; Metazoa; Mollusca; Gastropoda; Neomphalida; Peltospiridae
Source: RNAcentral
AAAGUUUGGUUCUGGCUUUAGUUUUGGUUGUGACUACUAGAAAUACAUGGAAUUUUUAGAAUAGAGUGAGGAUGAAUUUAUGUAAAAAUGUGAAAUUAAGUUUUGCUUGUUUAUGUAGAUUUUGAUAUUAUUUUUUAUAUAAUAUCUAGUUAAUUAUCACUUCACCAGUAUUGGAGAUUAAGAUUAUGUAGGAAACUAUGACUUAGGGAUUGGUUAAGAAGUUUGGAAAAAUUUGUGCCAGCCUCCGCGGUUAGACAAAUAAAGCUAAAUCAAAAUAUAACAGUUUAAAAGAUGGUUAGUUUAUUUGAUCAGAUGAAUUUAAUUAGUUUAAUAGGUUAAAUUAGGAGAAUUAGUUUUUAUUUUUCUUUGUCUGUAAAAUGAAGCCAUGAAAACUCUUACUAAAACCGGGAUUAGAUACCCCGUUAUUGGAGGAGUAAAUAUAAUAAUAUACUUGAGUAUUACGAGUUUAUAUCUUAAAACUCAAAGAACUUGGCGGUGCUUUAGACCCAGUCAGGGGAACCUGCCCCGUAAUCGAUAUUCCACGUAGGACCUAACUCUUUUUUGCAGAACAGUUUGUAUACCGUCGUUAUCAGGCAACUUUUUAGAAAAUAGAAGUUGGCGAGAUGAAUAUUUAUUCUGUAUGUCAGAUCAAGGUGCAGCUUAUAGAAGAGUGGAGGUGGGUUACUUUAAAGAAUUUUUUAUGGAUCUCUUUAUGAAAGAAAAGAGUGAAAGAGGACUUGAGAGUAAGUUUAAGAAAGAGUGUUAAACUGAACUAGGAUUUAAAGUGUGCACAAAUCGCCCGUCGCUCUCGUUGAAAAAUGAGAUAAGUCGUAACAUAGUAAAGGUACCGGAAGGUGUUUUUUAU